RNAcentral lists this ribosomal RNA (429 nucleotides) under Bacteroidota bacterium. RNAcentral's name for it is "Bacteroidetes bacterium partial 16S ribosomal RNA". It matches the Rfam family "Bacterial small subunit ribosomal RNA", at positions 355 to 776 of the family's 1533-position model. The record is from RNAcentral. Lineage: Bacteria; Pseudomonadati; Bacteroidota.
UAGGGAAUCUUCCGCAAUGGACGCAAGUCUGACGGAGCAACGCCGCGUGAGUGAAGAAGGAUUUCGGUUCGUAAAACUCUGUUGUUAGAGAAGAACAGCGCAUAGCGUAACUGUUAUGCGUGUGACGGUAUCUAACCAGAAAGCCACGGCUAACUACGUGCCAGCAGCCGCGGUAAUACGUAGGUGGUAAGCGAUGUCCGGAUUUAUUGGGCGUAAAGCGAGCGCAGGCGGUCAAUUAAGUCUGAUGUGAAAGCCCCCGGCUCCAGCGGGGAGGGUCAUUGGAAACUGGUUGACUUGAGUGCAGAAGAGGAGAGUGGAAUUCCAUGUGUAGCGGUGAAAUGCGUAGAUAUCUGUAGGAACACCAGUGGCGAAGGCGACUCUCUGGUCUGUAACUGACGCUGAGGCUCGAAAGCGUGGGUAGCAAACAGG